Molecule: long non-coding RNA, 794 nt
Organism: Suricata suricatta (meerkat)
Lineage: Eukaryota; Metazoa; Chordata; Mammalia; Carnivora; Herpestidae
Exons: 3
Source: RefSeq, a predicted model, not a curated record
GAAGAGCUAUUCACCCGUGUAGAGCUCGGUGGUUGUUUCCCGAAGUACAUCCUCACUGCGGGUGUAGAGUUGGCUGUAUUGCCUUUGGAGCCCAGGACAAGUGGUUCCACCUCAGGGGAAUGCCUCUCUCCCCUCUUGAGCAAGAACGUGAAACAACAAUUAUCAGGAUGACACUGGCAGCUAUGAUGCGUCAUCUCUAAUAGAGCCCACAUCUGAACCAUCAACACCCAUCACUGACACCCUGGCCAGUCCGUGAUCAUUUCUGACCUCCAUGACUGCACAGCCUCCUGCCCUGCCUCUCCACUGCCAGCUGCUGGGACCCCCUGCCUCGCACACUGCCCUCCACAGAGGAUCUAAGGAGUUGACAAUUCAGCUGAGUCUUGAGGAACAAGAAGCCUUUGCAAGAUCACUACCAUCGCUACACAAAUAUUGAACCGAUAUCUCUAACCUUAACAGGUUUAAACUGAAUCUCAUCCCCUUCCUUUUCUCAGUGAUGGCAACUCCACCUACCAAUGGUUUAUGUCAAAAUCUUCAGAAUGACUCUUCACUCCCAUCAUUCUGUGUGUCCUUCUUCAUGUCAUCAUGUUGGCUCUACCUUCAGAAUCCAGCAGGAAUCCAGCCACAUCCCACCAGACUCAAUGCCAUCACCCUGGUCUAGGGCCUCAUUUUCUGUCAUCAAGAUUAAGUCAGUCUCCCUGAUUCUAUCUUUGACUAUGUACAAUCUAUUCCCAAUACAUCAACUAGAAUGAUGGUUUUAUACUCAAAAAUUAUAAUUGACUCCCCACGCCACUUAA